This is a non-coding RNA of Cricetulus griseus (Chinese hamster), 1248 nucleotides long. NCBI's taxonomy places the organism in Eukaryota, Metazoa, Chordata, Mammalia, Rodentia, Cricetidae. The record is from RefSeq and is a predicted model, not a curated record.
UGUGAUCUCAGGAAGAGAGGAUGCAUGAGGCUGGUGUCCUCGCCUUGUUUUGUGAUCCAGCCUCAAAACCACUUUCAAUGUAUAAAUUAAGUUACUUGACAUUUACGCUAUUCAGGAUGAAGGUGUGUGAGCACUGAGUACAAUUCACCACUCAGCAUUCCCAGAGUCGGUGGUAAGAAGAUGAUGACUGGAAAGUUAAUCUUCCCACAUAAUCCUCCUUGGGGCCCCAGGUGAAGAUUUUCUUGCUCUGCUGUUAGAAGUUGCUCUGUUGACCUCACAAGGGACUGUGCAGGCAACGAUGCUGAGCACAAUAGAAGUGUGCACGCCAAGUACCAAGCUAACUUCUUCUUUUGAUUGCCUAGAUGCAGUUGUUCAGGUUGCCUCGGACAGAAGCUGACAAGGCUUUCUCAGCACCCGAUUCUACACAUUUAUCCUUCAAAGAAGCACAGUUGCCCAAGACAUGCAUGGGGACUUGCUGUUUCUUGUGGUUCAUCAAUUGGGAUGUCUAAUUUUCUACGCAGAAACCACGUUCCCCCGACUCUGAGAACUUUCCACAAAGAUGGGGUAGUUCAUGCUCAACAGUAUUGAGUAGAGCUACAAUGGCUCUACCAUGUGAUCCAAGGAUGGUAUUGACAGCUCCUUGGUAUCCAUGAUACGAAUUACCUGGAUUUAUUUCGUAAUUUCAAAUCCAUGACAUAAAUUACAACUAAGAAGCAUUGUGACCGAAUUAAACCUGGAUAUUGCAUGCACAUCAUGUGAGCUUCCUUUAGAGGGCACUGUUGAUUCUUUGAAACCAUGAGAACAUUUCUUCACAUCCCCUGGUGAGGUUGGCCAAACCUGAAAUCUUACUGGGUUUCAUAUCUACUCAGAAGGAAGUUAGCAUAAAUUACCAGUCCAGUGCUUGGAAUAUGUUGUCCAUUAACAGACAGUUCAGAAGAUAAUUCAGCAUGUUAAUUGUUAAGACAAGUCAUCAAAGCAAUACACACCAUUUUGCGUUUGGUAACACCAACGGGUUUAUUUGCCUUUACAAACUCUUCAAAUGAGAAUUUGCUCUUGUAACUUGAUAUAAAAUUUAAACUCAAUAAUCCAAUCUUUUUGUCUAGAGACAUAAACAACCACAUCCUUAGGAUUCAUCAUCUCAUUCUAGAAAUAGAUAAUAUGUUUGGGGGAGACACCAUAUUUGUAGUCUUAUCAUUCAGAAAUUCAUUAAGACUGCAGAUAUUAUAUAAAAUUUGUCUUUGAAUUUGU